This 186-nucleotide unclassified non-coding RNA is filed under the name Acanthocheilonema viteae. Its description in RNAcentral is "LIM-Domain". The record is from RNAcentral. Lineage: Eukaryota; Metazoa; Nematoda; Chromadorea; Rhabditida; Onchocercidae.
UGUGCCGUAUGCUCGAAACCAAUCGUACCCGAGGAAGGUCAAGAAGAGUCAAUACGAAUUGUUGCAAUGGAUAAAAGUUUUCAUGUUAAUUGCUAUCGAUGUGAAGAUUGCAACAUGCAACUGAAUUCUAAAAUUGAAGGACAAGGAUGCUAUCCGUUGGAUCAACACUUGUACUGUAAAAAUUGU